Molecule: ribosomal RNA, 256 nt
Filed under: uncultured bacterium
Lineage: Bacteria
Description: partial 16S ribosomal RNA
Rfam family: Bacterial small subunit ribosomal RNA
Source: RNAcentral
UAAUACGGAGGGUGCAAGCGUUAUCCGGAAUCACUGGGUUUAAAGGGUGCGUAGGCGGAAUAUUAAGUCAGUGGUGAAAGCCUGUCGCUUAACGAUAGAACUGCCAUUGAUACUGAUAUUCUUGAAUUGGGUUGAGGUUAGCGGAAUGUGACAUGUAGCGGUGAAAUGCAUAGAUAUGUCAUGGAACACCAAUUGCGAAGGCAGCUAGCUGGGCCUUGAUUGACGCUGAGGCACGAAAGCGUGGGUAGCGAACAGG